UCGAGCGCGAAUGGAGCAAUCCUAGUAGAGCGGCGCACGGGUGCGUAACACGUGGGUAAUCUGCCCUGGUGACUGGGAUAACCUGCCGAAAGGCUGGCUAAUACCAGAUAAGCUCACGGGUCCUUCGGGAUCUGAGAGAAAAGGUGGCCUCUGUAUACAAGCUAUCACACCAGGAUGAGCCCGCGGCCCAUCAGCUAGUUGGCGGGGUAAUGGCCCACCAAGGCAACGACGGGUAGCUGGUCUGAGAGGACGAUCAGCCACACUGGAACUGAGACACGGUCCAGACUCCUACGGGAGGCAGCAGUGGGGAAUUUUGCGCAAUGGGCGAAAGCCUGACGCAGCAACGCCGCGUGUGUGAUGAAGGUCUUCGGAUUGUAAAGCACUUUCGACCGGGACGAACACCCCUGAGCUAACAUCUCAGGGCCUGACGGUACCGGGAGAAGAAGCACCGGCUAACUCUGUGCCAGCAGCCGCGGUAAUACAGAGGGUGCAAGCGUUG
RNAcentral lists this ribosomal RNA (499 nucleotides) under uncultured bacterium. Its description in RNAcentral is "bacterial SSU rRNA". It matches the Rfam family "Bacterial small subunit ribosomal RNA", at positions 62 to 543 of the family's 1533-position model. The record is from RNAcentral.